This 1466-nucleotide long non-coding RNA is filed under the name Homo sapiens (human). Its description in RNAcentral is "non-protein coding lnc-KMT5A-1:21". Lineage: Eukaryota; Metazoa; Chordata; Mammalia; Primates; Hominidae. The record is from RNAcentral.
AGGAACAUCCAAAUCUCCUCAGCGGUUAAACCGACCCCAAACCACUUCUGGGAAACCACCGGUAUCCACUGCUUUGGGGAACUCUGGAUGCUCGUUAUGCCAAACGCUCUCAAAGUAAGCAAAUCCCCAACUGCCGUUCCCCUCCAUGGGUAAUUCUUAGGGUCUGGGAGGUGAGCUCGCCCGCCGAGGCAGAACUAAGCGAGUCGCCUGGAGAGGCGUGAAGGGAGCCUGCACGUGUCCCCCGCGGCUUCCCCACCGCCCCAAGAGCGGGGCAUGUACGAGACCGCGCUGUGGGGUUCAGAUUUAGGAAGGACGACCGCGUCGCCUGCCUCCCUCCCUCGCCCAGAGCCGGGAGCAAUGCUGGGGCACGAAAGAGGACUUGGGAAGGAUCCGGUCCUUACUUUCCCCGCGGGUCCCGGACCCGCAGCCCCCGGGUUGUGAGGCGGAAGCCAAAGGGGCGAACCCAGCGGAGCCGGCGUGCACAGACCCUGCCCCGCGGUCCAAGAGGGGUGCCUCCGGCCCGGGACAGCGGGGCUCCCGGAGCCCGAAAGCCCCACGAGCGGCGACAGCGGGGCCCGGCGCUGACGAACAGAGGAAGCGAGUACAACGGAGCCGCCGUCGGGAACAUGCCCCCGAGGGCCCCGGAGCGCGCGGCCGCGAGGAGCGGCAAGCGGCGAGGGAGGCCCCAAGCCGGGGCGAGGUGGCUGUCCCCCCAGCCUGGCCCCGCACGGCCCCCCGAGGGUGGGAGUGGGAGGCUGUCCGGGAGGGGGAGUGUGGAAGGAGAAAAGGGCCAAGGGAAGGACUUACUUUCCCCGCGGGACCCGGCGCCAGCACAGCUCCUCCCGGGAGGUGAAGGAAGAUGAUUUCCCCCCCAUCUUGACCACCCCCCAGUCUUCGCCGCCAAAAACGGACUCCGCCGGCUAUCCUCGGCCCGGUACCAGUUGUUGGAUCCAAGAGAAUUCCGGAACCCAAACGGUCCAUUACCGCGGCUCUGGGGCUCGCUCAAAGCACUUUAUUGGCAGUGAAACCGCAAGUAACCCGGAGCCCUCGGCGCGACCACGGCUAGAAUCAGAGCCUAAGGCGUGUGAGCUCAGCCAUCCCACGUCUGUCUUCACGCUCAUACGCAAGCCCGACACACCGGGGCUCCCACUUAAUGAAUACUGAAGAGUAGGGCUGUCCCUACCGCUUCUCACUUCCUUGUUUUCAUCUUUUCGUUAUUAUUAAGCGACCUAACACAAUAAACAUAUUACCUUGUUGGUAACCCUUUUGUAAAGUCAUUCUGAAAGUGCUGUUUGACUCCGUUGCUUGGGUAAUAAGCACGCCUGGGUGAUUCUUGCCCCCUACUGGCUGCGCAUCCUACAAGCCUAGUGCUGAAAGCAAACCAAGUAGCUGGAACAGUUGGAGGUUACAGUGUGAACUCUUCCAGAGACAAAGUAUUCGGGGAAAGAAAGGAAAAAGUAGGCACA